Molecule: ribosomal RNA, 1399 nt
Filed under: metagenome
Description: bacterial SSU rRNA
Rfam family: Bacterial small subunit ribosomal RNA
Source: RNAcentral
GACAUGCAAGUCGAACGCACCUUCGGGUGAGUGGCGGACGGGUGAGUAACGCGUGGGAAUCUGCCCUUAGGAGGGGGAUAACGGCUGGAAACGGCCGCUAAUACCCCAUAUGCCGAGAGGUGAAACGAAUUUCGCCUGAGGAUGAGCCCGCGUCUGAUUAGCUAGUUGGUGGGGUAAGAGCCCACCAAGGCGACGAUCAGUAGCUGGUCUGAGAGGAUGAUCAGCCACACUGGGACCGAGACACGGCCCAGACUCCUACGGGAGGCAGCAGUGGGGAGUUUUCCGCAAUGGGCGAAAGCCUGACGGAGCAACGCCGCGUGAGGGAUGAAGGCCUCUGGGCUGUAAACCUCUUUUCUCAAGGAAGAAGACAUGACGGUACUUGAGGAAUAAGCCACGGCUAAUUCCGUGCCAGCAGCCGCGGUAAUACGGGAGUGGCAAGCGUUAUCCGGAAUUAUUGGGCGUAAAGCGUCCGCAGGCGGCUCUGUAAGUCUGUUGUUAAAGCGUGGAGCUCAACUCCAUUUCAGCAAUGGAAACUACAGGGCUUGAGUGUGGUAGGGGCAGAGGGAAUUCCCGGUGUAGCGGUGAAAUGCGUAGAUAUCGGGAAGAACACCAGUGGCGAAGGCGCUCUGCUGGGCCAUAACUGACGCUCAUGGACGAAAGCCAGGGGAGCGAAAGGGAUUAGAUACCCCUGUAGUCCUGGCCGUAAACGAUGAACACUAGGUGUCGGGGGAAUCGACCCCCUCGGUGUCGUAGCCAACGCGUUAAGUGUUCCGCCUGGGGAGUACGCACGCAAGUGUGAAACUCAAAGGAAUUGACGGGGGCCCGCACAAGCGGUGGAGUAUGUGGUUUAAUUCGAUGCAACGCGAAGAACCUUACCAGGGUUUGACAUCCUGCGAAUCCCUUGGAAACUUGGGAGUGCCUUCGGGAGCGCAGAGACAGGUGGUGCAUGGCUGUCGUCAGCUCGUGUCGUGAGAUGUUGGGUUAAGUCCCGCAACGAGCGCAACCCACGUCUUUAGUUGCCAGCAUUCAGUUGGGCACUCUAGAGAGACCGCCGGUGAUAAACCGGAGGAAGGUGUGGAUGACGUCAAGUCAUCAUGCCCCUUACAUCCUGGGCUACACACGUACUACAAUGCUACGGACAGAGGGCAGCAAGCUCGCGAGAGUUAGCAAAUCCCAUAAACCGUGGCUCAGUUCAGAUCGUAGGCUGCAACUCGCCUACGUGAAGGAGGAAUCGCUAGUAAUCGCAGGUCAGCAUACUGCGGUGAAUACGUUCCCGGGCCUUGUACACACCGCCCGUCACACCAUGGAAGUUGGCCAUGCCCGAAGUCGUUACUCCAACCCUUGUGGAGGAGGACGCCGAAGGUGGGGCUGAUGACUGGGGUGAAGUCGAAACAAGGUA